This 253-nucleotide ribosomal RNA is filed under the name uncultured bacterium. Its description in RNAcentral is "partial 16S ribosomal RNA". It matches the Rfam family "Bacterial small subunit ribosomal RNA", at positions 524 to 776 of the family's 1533-position model. The record is from RNAcentral.
GACGAACCGGACAAACGUUAUUCGGAAUUACUGGGCUUAAAGGGUUUGUAGGCGGCCUUGUAAGUCAGGUGUGAAAUCCCUCGGCUCAACCGAGGAAUAGCGCUUGAUACUGCAAGGCUUGAGGGAGACAGGGGUAAGCGGAACUGAUGGUGGAGCGGUGAAAUGCGUUGAUAUCAUCAGGAACACCGGUGGCGAAGGCGGUUACCUGGACAGUUACUGACGCUCAGGCACGAAAGCAUGGGGAGCAAAAGGG